Molecule: long non-coding RNA, 830 nt
Filed under: Homo sapiens (human)
Lineage: Eukaryota; Metazoa; Chordata; Mammalia; Primates; Hominidae
Description: HSALNT0248711
Source: RNAcentral
CCUGUCUCCACAAAGAGAGCAAGGGCCCAGGUGUGUCUGAAUAACAGCUGUGCUGGUGCCUACUGGAGGACAGAAACAUGGCAAAGAGUAAGGGGAAGUGAUGAUAUAGAAUGUGUAAGGUGGGAAUUCAGGAAACAAUGACAGCAAAAGUGAUUUGAGAAACAAAGCCAAAGGAAAAGGUGAGUAAAAAGAAAAGAAGGAAGUCCCAUCUUCUACAGGGCAAAUACCCUGGUUAUUUAGCACGGUGCAUAAGGCCCUCUUGGUCUGCAUUUGCUGCCUGCUGCCUCUAGUGUUGCUGCAUCAUCCCCUUAGUACAAGACAAUCUGUAGUUCCCCAAAUGGACGAUGGGAGGCAGGGUUUAAUCUGGCCCCAGUGAUCUCCACUUCCCAGUAGCCACAUCACUGUAGAAUCCCCUCUCCUGAGUGUGGGCUGGCCCAGCAACUUGCUUCUAACUGUCGGAGAAUGACAAGUGAUGGGAUGUCACUUCCCGUAAUUAACUGACGGGAGACUGUAGCUUCUGUCUUGCUAGUGGAUGCUGUCUGUUGCCUUCCUGGUUUGUGUGCUUUGAUGAAGCAAGUGGCUGUGUUGCAGAGGUCCACUUGGCAAGGGGAUGAAAGUGGCCUUUGGCCAACAGCCAGCAAGGAGCUAAGGCCCUUUAUCCAACAACCCUUGAAGAACUGAAAUCUUCUAACAACCACAUGAGCUUGGAAAUGGAUCCCCGCCUUGACCCUUCAGAUGCGACCCCAGCCCUGGCCAGCGCCUCGAUUGCCACCUUGUGAGAGAUCCUGAAGGAUGGAUCCAGCUAAGCCAUGACCAGGUGGCUGCCCCAA